CAUAUGCAUGUAAUUGUAAUGGCUGCUGUAGGAGAGAGGAAUAAUGUCGUGGGAGAGACAAAAACUGAGUAAAAAAAACACCCUGAAUAUGUUUAGAACUACAAAUGAACCUUCUUUCAGUGAUUUAUAUUAGACAAAGAAAAUUUUACAUUUACAUCCCGCCCUGACUGUAAACCAGGUCAGGAUCAGAGCGAUAGAUCAGCCAGCGGCGGUUCCGCACAUGCGCGAUUCACUUGCAGUCUGGACGUGGAGGGGUUAACGUCUCCUGCUCUGACUGCUGCUGGGAGGGAGGACUGGGCCGUCUGUGAGUGAUUUGGGGCGAGAGAGGAGCCCAAGGUAGCAUCCGCUGCCCGUUGAGAAGAAUAAGAAUGAUACGUGCUCUCACAGCAGAGUCUCCAGAAGUCUUCAAUAACAUCAGAAAAAGUCGCUAGAUUUGUCGCUAGCCGCUUUUUUGAAAAGAGUCGUUAGAGGAGUUUGAAAAGUCGCUAAAUAUAGCGACAAAGUCACUAAGUUGGCAACACUGGGGACACAGAAGCUACCAGAAUGGAAGAGGAUAACUGUGGCCAGGAGGCAGGACAUGACACAGCAGGAGAGCGAAGAGCUGGAGGAGGAACAGAAACAUGACUCUCCCCAAGGCCGAAGCAAGUCUCAGUCGGCAGGUCCGCAUGUUAAAGUCAAUGGCCGAGCAACCUGGACCAAGGGCAGAAGAGGCUCAGACAGCAGGGGAUUUAAAGCUAUUCAAAGGAGUUCCACUGACAAAUAGUUCAAUGUACAGCAGAGAAACCACCAACAGUUUUUAAUGCCUUGGCUACUAGUAUUGAGAUGAGACUGGGCUGCCUGCCUGGUAAACAGAGGAGCAAGGAAGAAUACCAGAGCUUUCUUAACAACAUCAAAAUGCUGCAGCCAUCUAGCUGGCCAGGUGCAUGUCGGGUCCGUUAUGCUGAAAAGGAAAUACAGGAACUCUGCUCCUUUUUCAACCUUGAUAAUGGCAGACAAAUUCAAAGAGGGAUGAGGGAAUAUUUUGACAUGGUCAGACUCAAAACUGUUGAUGAAAUGAUUUCAGCACUAGAAGAGCUGAAACCCCUCCUGCAAGCAGUGAACACUCUGGUAAUCUCCACAGCAGAGUGUGAGCAUGGGUUUAGUCAGAUGAACAUUUUAACCACAACUAGAAGCUCCCUAGAGGUAAAAAGCAUGUCAGCCUUACUUUUCAUCAAGUGUGUUGGCCCUCCACUGAGAAAGUUUAGACUGAAAGCAAGGGCAAGAAAUAUUGAAAACAGAAAUCAUGACUAUGAAAAUCUCUGGAAACUUUUAUGAGAUAGGGGAGAGUGGGGUAGGCAGCCAUAGAAUUGGUCCUAUGUAUUUUGUAU
Molecule: long non-coding RNA, 1367 nt
Organism: Epinephelus moara (kelp grouper)
Lineage: Eukaryota; Metazoa; Chordata; Actinopteri; Perciformes; Serranidae
Exons: 3
Source: RefSeq, a predicted model, not a curated record